GACGAACGCUGGCGGCGUGCUUAACACAUGCAAGUCGAACGGAAAGGCCCCCUUGUGGGGUACUCGAGUGGCGAACGGGUGAGUAACACGUGAGUAACCUACCCUUGACUUUGGGAUAACUUCAGGAAACUGGGGCUAAUACCGGAUAGGAGCUCCUGCUGCAUGGUGGGGGUUGGAAAGUUUCGGCGGUUGGGGAUGGACUCGCGGCUUAUCAGCUUGUUGGUGGGGUAGUGGCUCACCAAGGCUUUGACGGGUAGCCGGCCUGAGAGGGUGACCGGCCACAUUGGGACUGAGAUACGGCACAGACUCCUACGGGAGGCAGAAGUGGGGAAUAUUGCACAAUGGGCGGAAGCCUGAUGCAGCAACGCCGCGUGCGGGAUGACGGCCUUCGGGUUGUAAACCGCUUUCGCCUGUGACGAAGCGUGAGUGACGGUAAUGGGUAAAGAAGCACCGGCUAACUACGUG
RNAcentral lists this ribosomal RNA (465 nucleotides) under uncultured bacterium. RNAcentral's name for it is "partial 16S ribosomal RNA". It matches the Rfam family "Bacterial small subunit ribosomal RNA", at positions 28 to 507 of the family's 1533-position model. The record is from RNAcentral.